GAAGUAUGAUCAGCUCGCCAAGGAGAAGGCCGAUAUGGAAGUAGCUUAUGAGAGAGAAGUGAAGAGGCUUCGUGCAACUUAUCUUCCGAUCUCGAAGGCUUUGGACGAUUGUUUCUAGGGCUCCAUAAGAUGUUCAUUCUCCUUUUCUCUUGUAUUGUAUUUGGUUAUCAAAACUGUAUUACUUCUUUGGUGUAAAAAGUUUCC
This 204-nucleotide long non-coding RNA is filed under the name Lathyrus oleraceus (garden pea). RNAcentral describes it as "Pisum sativum (pea) long non-coding RNA (PSAT_LNC025465)". Lineage: Eukaryota; Viridiplantae; Streptophyta; Magnoliopsida; Fabales; Fabaceae. The record is from RNAcentral.